Molecule: small nuclear RNA, 106 nt
Filed under: Pan paniscus (pygmy chimpanzee)
Lineage: Eukaryota; Metazoa; Chordata; Mammalia; Primates; Hominidae
Also listed under: 1 other name
Description: U2 spliceosomal RNA
Rfam family: U2 spliceosomal RNA
About the family: U2 is a small nuclear RNA (snRNA) component of the spliceosome (involved in pre-mRNA splicing). Complementary binding between U2 snRNA (in an area lying towards the 5' end but 3' to hairpin I) and the branchpoint sequence (BPS) of the intron results the bulging out of an unpaired adenosine, on the BPS, which initiates a nucleophilic attack at the intronic 5' splice site, thus starting the first of two transesterification reactions that mediate splicing.
Source: Rfam by way of RNAcentral
AUCGCUUCUCGGCCUUUUGGCUAAGAUCAAAUGUAGUAUCUGUUCUUAUCAGAAAUUGUAUGGUGUAGAACAAAAAUGUAUGGUCUUAUUCAUGUGUUUAAUCUAU